Molecule: ribosomal RNA, 618 nt
Filed under: uncultured bacterium
Lineage: Bacteria
Description: bacterial SSU rRNA
Rfam family: Bacterial small subunit ribosomal RNA
Source: RNAcentral
CCUACGGGAGGCAGCAGUGAGGAAUAUUGGUCAAUGGGCGCAAGCCUGAACCAGCCAUGCCGCGUGCAGGGAGAAUGCCCUACGGGUUGUAAACUGCUUUUAUUUGGGAAUAAACCUUUCUACGUGUAGAAAGCUGAAGGUACCAAUUGAAUAAGCACCGGCUAACUCCGUGCCAGCAGCCGCGGUAAUACGGAGGGUGCAAGCGUUAUCCGGAAUCAUUGGGUUUAAAGGGUCCGCAGGCGGACCUAUAAGUCAGUGGUGAAAGCCUACAGCUUAACUGUAGAACUGCCAUUGAAACUGUAGGUCUUGAAUUCGGUCGAAGUGGGCGGAAUGCGUAGUGUAGCGGUGAAAUGCAUAGAUAUUACACAGAACACCGAUAGCGAAGGCAGCUCACUAGGCCUGGAUUGACGCUCAGGGACGAAAGCGUGGGGAUCAAACAGGAUUAGAUACCCUGGUGGUCCACGCCGUAAACUAUGAUUACUCGUUUUCGGCGAUAUACAGUCGGAGACUAAGCGAAAGUGAUAAGUAAUCCACCUGGGGAGUACGAUCGCAAGGUUGAAACUCAAAGAGUAGUACGGACGCGNGAGAGACGACGACGACGACGACGGAGGGAGGAGG